UACGAAUGAAAUUUACUCAAUAUUCCAUUACUUUUUAUAUUCAAAUUUGACAAUGGCCAAUUCUUGAACACCCACAAAUGGGAGAAACAUGAAUUCGUUGAUCACACUCCAUGACCGGCAUUAAGAUUAGUACAAAUUCAUUGAGGGAUGAUAAUGGUGCCGAUUUCCAACAUAUGUAAGAAAUGUUGAGUUGUUUAUUGGCUCACAUUAAGGCUCACUUGCACUAAUGAUGGAAUUGUUUUCAAAACCGAAUUUUUAUAGCCUAUUUCUCCCACCACCACUCUGCAAAUCAAUUAAAAAAGAAACUAAUUAUAUAUAUGAAGAAUAUAAAUACAUUACGGACUAUAUUAGGGAUCAUAUAGAGCAGGACAAGAAUAUAUGAUAUAUAUCUGAACAUGAGACAACUAUUUCAACAAGGCAGUUAAGGUAAAAUAGUAAAUUCAUCCAUAAUGCUAAUAAAAGAGGUAGAUCGAAAUAUUAGUAGCGCAUGAACUUUUUUAAGUGAAAUGAAGAUAACGACAAAUGAUUUGAGCUAAGAAAGAAAGAGAGCAGAGAAUUGAUUUGAGCUAAGAUUUGACAAUAGUUGAUAGUAUAGGAAACAUUAAACAUUGUGUAAGCUUUAAACAUAAAACAUAAAUCCGUGUUAAUAAAAAGAUGCACGGGAAGAUAACGUUAAUUAUUCGAUUAUUUUAGUCUUAGAUUCAACAAACAUUUAAAGAUCACAAAGGACUUGUUUAGUCUUAGACGGGACAACAUACUUGCGAUUACAGAACACAUACAUAAUAACUUAAUCCUAGUAGCAAACUGAGAAGUCCUAUGAAAGAAAGAAACAUAAAACUAGUAUGUUAUGAAAACUUGAAAAGUAACUAAAAACAGUAAAUUUGCACUUAAUGCCAAAUUUCAAGAUAAAUAUAUAUGCCAACCAUCAGCUCGAAUAAAAAGAAUCCAUUCAAUGACAUCUUUAGCAUAUUGACGCAAAACACUAUGAAGCAUGGUUUCUUAACAUGGAUUGAGCAUGUCAUGGUAAUAUCUUAUAGGAUAAAGCUUAUGUUAGAGAUGAAACCAUAUAGUUUUAUCCUCCUUGCUCUGAAACAUCUAAGUUUUUGAUAUUAGCAUCUUUGAAGUCAAAGCUUAAUUAAGUUAAGCCCAAACAAAGUCAGCCAAUGAGAUAUGCCAACCACAUAACAAUCAAAAUUUGAAUCUGCCUAGAUACUAAAUUAGAACUAUCUCCUUUUACAAUCAUAUAUAACUUAAUAGUCCAUCAAAUGUUAGCAAAAGAUGAAACCACCAGCUCGAGAAAAAGGAGUCAUCAAAGACUCAAACAUAAACCAUGGGUAGCUCAGCAAAAACCCCAUCGUGGGAGAGUUGAUGGAAAAGCAAAAGAGAAAACCCCAUGAUAUUAAACUGAUGUAGAAGAAAUUAAAUAAAAAAACCCAAUGCAUCAUAAACAAAUAAACAACAAAUAAAACCACAGAAUUUUCACAAAUGCAACAAUAUCUUCUCUUUGAUUCAUGAAAUAAAAUAUUUAUAUUAAUGCAAAAAGCAUACAAUUUGAUAAAAGAGUAUCCAACAAACUAAGAAUCGGCAGAUUAGAUCUAUAAACCAAAACACUUUUUUUUUUCAAGAUCUGGUGUAUAUAGUUCUGAUAAAAAAUCACUUCUGCUUUUGGACUAUCUGUGAGCAAAUCAAUCUUGUUAUUAGCAUUUUUUUUUUAUGGCUUUGUGGGGUAGAACUGCAGAAUAAGGCUUUCUAGCAGUGUCUUUUAGUCUUCUUUGCCACUUUGCAAAUGGCGAAGUUUAAAAGGAUAUGCCGAUAAAUACUUCAAGUAAAGACCACAAUGGAAGUUGGGAAGUGUUUGGGGAUCAAGUAAGGCAUGUGGAAGAAGGGUAAGUUUUUUCAUUCUACUACAAAUAGAAUGGAAUCUCAACGCUCUUCUCGGAAAGACAAAUACUUGAAAACGGUGAAAAACUUUCCUUGAGCUUGCCAAUUUCUCAAUUUUUAUGUUUCCAACCCCCAAAGAACAUAUGUAACAAAAUCGAUCUACUGACGUGCAAGUUUUGGCGGGUUUGAGAAUCAAGGGUGGAAGAAAAUAUAUCACAUAAAUUGGGACGAUGUAAUCAAGCAUAAUAUCACUUGGCAAAGUAAUAAUAGAUGGAGAACAUCAAGCUUAGGAAUGGCGACAAAUUCAGAACUAGUUUGCAAUGAACUGCCCAAAUCGGAGGUGCAGAGAUGGUAGGAAUCAAAGUUGUUCUUUGAAGGAGCCGCAAAAUAUUAAUGGAAGAUUUCUAUGUGAAAUCAACACACUUCCAUGAACUGAGUAAUCAUAAUGAUGGGAAUAUUAAUUCACCCAAUUCGAGUAUCCCCAAGAAAGUAUGGAGGUUCCUAUGGGCAGUUAAACUACUUUGAAAAAUUGUCAUGUUUCUAUGAAAGAUUCUAGACAAUGCAUUGCCAUGCAAAGUUCAAGUUCAAAAGAGGAUUAGAUCCAAUCAUCAUGCGAAUGUUUAGAUUCUUAGAAAUAAAGUCCUGUUUGAUGAAGGCAGCAAUGGAGCUCAUAAACCAGAACAAGAAAGCACACAUUAACUAGGAAAUUCCUAAGAUGCAGGAAAAACUCCAAACCUGACCAAAGUUGUAAUUAGAAGCACAUAUUUAAUAGCUUGUUUUUUUUUUCUUUGUGGGGUAGAACUGCAGAGUAUGAGUAUAGAUUUCAGGUUCAUCCAUGGGGGUUUUAGCAUUCAUUUCUUAAUAUUUUAAACUUUUUCUCGGGGUGGGGGGUUACAUAAUACUUUUAC
RNAcentral lists this long non-coding RNA (2789 nucleotides) under Gossypium barbadense (sea-island cotton). Its description in RNAcentral is "long non-coding RNA (GBAR_LNC007929)". The record is from RNAcentral. Lineage: Eukaryota; Viridiplantae; Streptophyta; Magnoliopsida; Malvales; Malvaceae.